RNAcentral lists this transfer RNA (95 nucleotides) under Sphingomonas sp. S2M10. Its description in RNAcentral is "tRNA-Ala". Lineage: Bacteria; Pseudomonadati; Pseudomonadota; Alphaproteobacteria; Sphingomonadales; Sphingomonadaceae. The record is from RNAcentral.
GCAGCGCGGUGGCGAGCUCGGCGAAUUCAGUCGCGUCGCAGGCGAUGGUCUCGGCGGGGUUGAGACGGGCGAGUUCGGCGCCCAGCCGCGCCGCG